Long non-coding RNA from Cervus elaphus (red deer), 637 nucleotides. RefSeq lists it as uncharacterized. The transcript has 3 exons. NCBI's taxonomy places the organism in Eukaryota, Metazoa, Chordata, Mammalia, Artiodactyla, Cervidae. The record is from RefSeq and is a predicted model, not a curated record.
GCCAAGGUAAUAGACGCUCCUUCCAUGAUUAUUUGUAUCUCAAAUAAAAUGACAAAGAGGAUAACAGUAUCUAGGUUCAUUCACCCCAGUGAAGGCAUCCUGAAUAGACUAUUUUGACUGCAAGACCACCCCUUUAGUUCUAUUUCCUUGAGAUCUUAAAGUAUUUUGCAUAUUAAAAGAAAAACUCUCAAGCCUACAUUGCAGAAAUACCUAUUCUGGUUCUUCUAUGCAUUCUACCUCUUUUUUUCUUCCCCAACUCAAAUCAUUUGUUUGUUUUAAUCAAAACCAACAGAGUGCUUAGCUCCUGACACUCUACAAGGAGUCUUGAGACAGUGUCAAAAGAAAGAAAACUGUACGUUGUUUGCAGAUACAGUUACUUUCGGUGAACCUUGUUUCCCAGGAGUGAAGAAACAGCUGCAAGUUUUCUAUAUAUGUGUGCCUAUAAAGCUGCUGCAAGAAAUUGACCAUAGCUCAAUGGACCCAUUUACACUGUCUGAUUAUAUAUAUGGCAUCCCUGAGAAAAUGGGCCUGUAUUUCCUGUGUGGUGUCUCUGGAGGCCUUAUCUUUCUAUUAUGCAUCUUUACUUCCAAAAUGAUCUUUGUCCAAGAAAUGAAAGAAGUUUCCGGGUGUAUAAAUU